RNAcentral lists this long non-coding RNA (857 nucleotides) under Gallus gallus (chicken). Its description in RNAcentral is "lncRNA (ENSGALG00010027436.1)". The record is from RNAcentral. Lineage: Eukaryota; Metazoa; Chordata; Aves; Galliformes; Phasianidae.
AAACUCAAAACUGCCUCUAUUUACCAAGCAGAGUGUGGGUCAGGAAGACAUUUGAGAUUUUCUUUCCUCUGCAAUUGUUUGCCUUGUUUUGGAGCCUAAAGCAAUAGAGUAAUUCCAUGACAAAAUUCCGGGUCAGAAAAGCUGACAAAGCAAAAAUUGUGACUGACUGAAAAAUCUUCUAUCAUUUCCUCCAAGCUUAAGAUUUUCAUUUGCAUUGUCUGGAUUUAAUUCACAGUCCCUGCCAUUCAUCUAUUUGAAUUUCUGCAUGCAUUUUUUGCUGGAUUAGUAUUUGUUGUUUUUCUUAUCAUCAGAUUUAUUAAAGGGUAAUUUAUUAAGAGGCACUCUGCACCCUGAGCCCUGCAUGCAUCCAGAAGAAAGCAGUGAUGACCACAGAGCUCAGAAACCUCAGAGCAGGGUCUGGGCUUCAUUACUCUGGAUUCCUGAGAGUGAGGCUGGACAAGGUGAAGAAGCUGGAGCCUUACCCAUCCUUAACUCUAGAUGGAUCCUUCUGGGGUGUUGGUAAGAAAACCCGCUGCAUGAGAAUGGACAGAGGAAUAGGUAACUGCAAGUCAGGAUUACACCAGUCACACAGAUGUGCACCACCACCAAUCUGCAGCAGGUUGGCUGGAGUCUCAGCGUGCUCACCCUAGAAAUACAGUCUCCUGUCUUCAGUUCCUUCCUCAUCUACAUGAGUCCCAGCUACAGCUUCAUCUCCCAUGGCAGCACCCAUCAGCACUGAUAGCAGCUACACAGAAAAGAAUGCAAAAAUGAGAAGUCAUGGGAUUGGAGUAUGCAAUCUUAUGAAUAGGAUGUGCCAAUCUCAGAGAAGCAUCCUGAACUGGAAAAAAAAAAAAAAA